Molecule: ribosomal RNA, 253 nt
Filed under: uncultured prokaryote
Description: partial 16S ribosomal RNA
Rfam family: Bacterial small subunit ribosomal RNA
Source: RNAcentral
UACGAAGGGUGCAAGCGUUAAUCGGAAUUACUGGGCGUAAAGCGCGCGUAGGUGGUUCAGCAAGUUGGAUGUGAAAGCCCUGGGCUCAACCUGGGAACUGCAUCCAAAACUACUGAGCUAGAGUACGGUAGAGGGUAGUGGAAUUUCCUGUGUAGCGGUGAAAUGCGUAGAUAUCUGGAGGAACACCGGUGGCGAAGGCGGCGUCCUGGACCAACACUGACACUGAGGAGCGAAAGCCAGGGGAGCAAACGGG